Molecule: ribosomal RNA, 449 nt
Filed under: uncultured bacterium
Lineage: Bacteria
Description: bacterial SSU rRNA
Rfam family: Bacterial small subunit ribosomal RNA
Source: RNAcentral
GCGAGUAGAGUGGCGCACGUGUGAGUAACACGUAGGUAAUUUGCCUUCGGGUGGGAAAUAACGCACAGAAACGGGAGCUAACUACCGCAUAAUGCAGCGUCUCGACAUCGAGACAGUUGUUAAAGCGGGGGAUUCCGAGACCUCUCGCCUCAAAAGAAGCCUGCGUUAGAUUAGCUAUUUGGGAGGGUAAUGGCCUACCCAGGCAACGAUCUGUAACCGGCCUCAGAGGGCGGUCGGUCACACUCACACUCACAUAUGCGUCAGACUCCUACAGGAGGCAGCAGUCGGGAAUUUUGGGCAAUGUGCGAAAGCCUGACCCAGCAACGCCCCGUGAAGGAUGAAAUCCCUCGGGAUGUAAACUUCGCACGAAUGGGAAGAAUAAAUGGGGGACAAUACCCCCCAUGAUGACGGUGCCAUUUGUAAGCUCCGGCUAACUCCGUGCGAGCAGC